Molecule: ribosomal RNA, 259 nt
Filed under: uncultured bacterium
Lineage: Bacteria
Description: partial small subunit ribosomal RNA
Rfam family: Bacterial small subunit ribosomal RNA
Source: RNAcentral
AGGACGAACGCUGGCGGCGUGCUUAACACAUGCAAGUCGAGCGGUAAGGCCUCCUUCGGGGGUACACGAGCGGCGAACGGGUGAGUAACACGUGGGUGACCUGCCCUCAGCGUCUUGGAUAAGACCUGGGAAACCGGGUCUAAUACCGGAUGGGACUGCUUGCCGCAUGGUGGGUGGUGGAAAGUUUUUUCGGCUGGGGAUGGGCCCGCGGCCUAUCAGCUUGUUGGUGGGUGAUGGCCUACCAAGGCGGUGACGGGUA